CGACCGGCGCACGGGUGAGCAACACGUAUCCAACCUGCCGAUGACUCGGGGAUAGCCUUUCGAAAGAAAGAUUAAUACCCGAUGGCAUAGUUCUUCCGCAUGGUAGAACUAUUAAAGAAUUUCGGUCAUCGAUGGGGAUGCGUUCCAUUAGCUUGUUGGCGGGGUAACGGCCCACCAAGGCAUCGAUGGAUAGGGGUUCUGAGAGGAAGGUCCCCCACAUUGGAACUGAGACACGGUCCAAACUCCUACGGAAGGCAGCAG
This 261-nucleotide ribosomal RNA is filed under the name uncultured bacterium. RNAcentral's name for it is "partial 16S ribosomal RNA". It matches the Rfam family "Bacterial small subunit ribosomal RNA", at positions 92 to 354 of the family's 1533-position model. The record is from RNAcentral.